This 750-nucleotide ribosomal RNA is filed under the name Brachybacterium sp. RNAcentral's name for it is "bacterial SSU rRNA". It matches the Rfam family "Bacterial small subunit ribosomal RNA", at positions 284 to 1069 of the family's 1533-position model. The record is from RNAcentral. Lineage: Bacteria; Bacillati; Actinomycetota; Actinomycetes; Micrococcales; Dermabacteraceae.
UGCCUGCCUGAAGGCGCCACCGGCACACUGCCACUGACACAGUCAAAAUCUAUAAACGGGAGGCAGCAGUGGGGGAAUAUUGCACAAUGGGCGAAAGCCUGAUGCAGCGACGCCGCGUGAGGAAUGACGGCCUUCGGGUUGUAAACCUCUUUCAGCAGGGAAGAAGCGAGAGUGACGGUACCUGCAGAAGAAGCGCCGGCUAACUACGUGCCAGCAGCCGCGGUAAUACGUAGGGCGCAAGCGUUGUCCGGAAUUAUUGGGCGUAAAGAGCUUGUAGGUGGCUUGUCGCGUCUGCCGUGAAACCCGAGCUCAACCUCGGCGUGCGGUGGGUACGGGCAGGCUAGAGUGUGGUAGGGGAGACUGGAACUCCUGGUGUAGCGGUGAAAUGCGCAGAUAUCAGGAGAACACCGAUGGCGAAGCAGGUCUCUGGCCAUUACUGACACUGAGAAGCGAAACAUGGGGAGCGACAGGAUUAGAUACCCUGGUAGUCCAUGCCGUAAACGUUGGGCACUAGGUGUGGGGACAUUCCACGUUUUCCGCGCGUAGCUAACGCAUUAAGUGCCCGCCUGGGAGUACGGCCGCAAGCUAAAACUCAAAGGAUUGACGGGGCCCGACAAGCGGCGGAGAUGCGGAUUAAUUCGAUGCACCGGAAGAACUUACCAAGGCUUGACAUGCACUGGACAGCUGCAGAGAUGUGGCCUUCUUUGGACUGGUGCACAGUGGGGCAUGGUUGUCGUCAGCUCGGUCGUG